AAAAUACGAAAGGUAAUAUGAAUUGCAGAAACGAAUCAUCAACUUUUUGAACGCAACUUGCACUCUUUGGGUUAAAAUGCACAAGAGUGUGUCUGUUUGAGUAUCAUAAAAAUUAUCUAUCCUACUUAAGUUUUGUUAUUCAAAAGUAGGGGCGUUGAGUUUUGACUUUUUCAUAAAGUUGCAACUCUAAAUACAUUGAAAAUAAGCUUUUAAACAACAUUGUUUUGUUAGUUAAUUAAAGUGGUUUUGAAUAUUUAUUUAUUAUAUUAAACUUUAAUUUGUUGUAAAGCUUUGUUUUCUGUUAAUAAAUUAACCCUCCAAAGUUAAUUAACUUAUUUUUUUUUUUCAUGAUCUCAAAUUAGACAAGAUUACCCGCUGAACUUAAGC
RNAcentral lists this unclassified non-coding RNA (387 nucleotides) under plant metagenome. RNAcentral describes it as "partial contains 5.8S ribosomal RNA, internal transcribed spacer 2, and large subunit ribosomal RNA". The stretch from base 1 to 106 matches the Rfam family "5.8S ribosomal RNA", at positions 50 to 154 of the family's 154-position model. The record is from RNAcentral.